AUGGAUGUGGACAGGAGUGUGGUAGUCAAAGGAAAGCUUUCUGGCAAAGUGGUGUCUCAGUGCAUCUGGGCUGCCACAACAAGUGUUGCUGUUUCUGCCCAGGGGCCAUCCGUGUUCCCCACCUCUGAGUGCAAAGUCCCAAAGAGAAACACCUACAUGGGCCUGGCCUGCUUGGUGACUGGGUACUUUCCAGAGCCAGUGACGGUCACCUGGGAGCCAGAAACAAGCAACGCAAAGUGGGUGACUUUCCCUUCUAAGAAGAAAGAUCAAACCUACAUCCUGAGCAGUCAGCUCUCUGUGUUGUCCUCAGAGCUGAACUCCAGCUCACCCAAGUGUGUGGUCUCUCACAAAGCCAGCGGCCAGACCAUUGAAAAGACUUUCUCACAGUCUGAGUUGUGGAAGACUCGGCCCCACCCUGGACCCAUUGUAUCUCCCCAAGCAGAGGAGCGUGCCAUAGAAGUCACGCCCACUCCCACCAGGGCCAGUCCCACCACCAUCAAGGACGUAGAAGGGACCAUGGCACCCAGCAACUUCUCUGUGAGCUUCCUCACCACAGCCACCCAUCCACAGAUAUCGUGGCUCCUGUGCGAGGUAUCCGGCUUCUUCCCGGAAGACAUCCGUCUAACGUGGUUGGAGGUCCAAAGCAAGGUGAACCCUUACCAGUUUGCCACCGCACACCCCACCCUCCAGCCUGGGAGCACCACGUUCCAGACCUGGAGUGUCCUACGCAUUCCAUCCACCUCCAGCCCUUCACUCGCCACUUACACAUGUGUGGUAGAACAUGAGGCCUCAAAGACCAAGCUCAAUGCCAGCGGGAGACCGGAAACUGGUGGCACAGUCGUCCCCACCAUCCUGACCCUGUGGGCCAGGGAUGAGCACAGCCCCGACUACACAGACCUGGAGGAUGAGAGCGGCCUGUGGCCCACUCUGUGCACCUUCGUGGCGCUCUUCCUGCUCACGCUGCUCUACAGCGGCUUCGUCACCUUCAUCAAGGUGAAGUAGCCAAGGAAACCGGCGUCUUUAGGCCUCAGAGAAGGACGCUUUUCCCUCACGGGGAUUUCCCUCCAUGGAAAGGAUGCCCUCCAUGACGGAAUUCGACCCCAAGCCCUCCUCCCAACGUCCUUCUGUCCAUGCAGCCUCCCAGACCCAGGACGAUGGACAUCCUUGGCUGCAGACGAAACGGGUGCCCCGCUGCCCUGGCCCUGCCUGU
Non-coding RNA from Nannospalax galili (Upper Galilee mountains blind mole rat), 1210 nucleotides. The record is from the annotation of a RefSeq genome assembly. NCBI's taxonomy places the organism in Eukaryota, Metazoa, Chordata, Mammalia, Rodentia, Spalacidae.